GAUGAACGCUGGCGGCGUGCCUAAUACAUGCCAGUCGAGCGAACAGACGAGGAGCUUGCUCCUCUGACGUUAGCGGCGGACGGGUGAGUAACACGUGGAUAACCUACCUAUAAGACUGGGAUAUCUUCGGGAAACCGGAGCUAAUACCGGAUAAUAUAUUGAACCGCAUGGUUCAAUAGUGAAAGACGGUUUUGCUGUCACUUAUAGAUGGAUCCGCGCCGCAUUAGCUAGUUGGUAAGGUAACGGCUUACCAAGGCAACGAUGCGUAGCCGACCUGAGAGGGUGAUCGGCCACACUGGAACUGAGACACGGUCCAGACUCCUACGGGAGGCAGCAGUAGGGAAUCUUCCGCAAUGGGCGAAAGCCUGACGGAGCAACGCCGCGUGAGUGAUGAAGGUCUUCGGAUCGUAAAACUCUGUUAUUAGGGAAGAACAAAUGUGUAAGUAACUAUGCACGUCUUGACGGUACCUAAUCAGAAAGCCACGGCUAACUACGUG
This 497-nucleotide ribosomal RNA is filed under the name uncultured bacterium. Its description in RNAcentral is "partial 16S ribosomal RNA". It matches the Rfam family "Bacterial small subunit ribosomal RNA", at positions 28 to 507 of the family's 1533-position model. The record is from RNAcentral.